UACAGAGGGGGCAAGCGUUGUUCGGAUUUACUGGGCGUAAAGGGCGCGUAGGCGGCCAGCACAAGUCAGUUGUGAAAUCUCCGAGCUUAACUCGGAAAGGUCAACUGAUACUGUGCGGCUAGAGUGCGGAAGGGGCAACUGGAAUUCUUGGUGUAGCGGUGAAAUGCGUAGAUAUCAAGAGGAACACCUGCGGCGAAGGCGGGUUGCUGGGCCGACACUGACGCUGAAGCGCGAAAGCCAGGGGAGCGAACGGG
RNAcentral lists this ribosomal RNA (254 nucleotides) under uncultured bacterium. RNAcentral's name for it is "partial 16S ribosomal RNA". It matches the Rfam family "Bacterial small subunit ribosomal RNA", at positions 524 to 776 of the family's 1533-position model. The record is from RNAcentral.